UGGGGAAUAUUGCACAAUGGGCGAAAGCCUGAUGCAGCGACGCCGCGUGCGGGAUGAAGGCCUUCGGGUUGUAAACUGCUUUUAAUUGGGAGCAAGCGAGAGUGAGUGUACCUUUUGAAUAAGCACCGGCUAACUACGUGCCAGCAGCCGCGGUAAUACGUAGGGUGCAAGCGUUAUCCGGAAUUAUUGGGCGUAAAGAGCUCGUAGGCGGUUUGUCACGCCUGGUGUGAAAGUCCAUCGCUUAACGGUGGAUCUGCGCCGGGUACGGGCAGGCUAGAGUGCAGUAGGGGAGAUUGGAAUUCCCGGUGUAACGGUGGAAUGUGUAGAUAUCGGGAAGAACACCAAUGGCGAAGGCAGAUCUCUGGGCUGUUACUGACGCUGAGGAGCGAAAGCAUGGGGAGCGAACAGGAUUAGAUACCCGUGGUAGUCCAUGCCGUAAACGGU
RNAcentral lists this ribosomal RNA (444 nucleotides) under uncultured bacterium. Its description in RNAcentral is "partial 16S ribosomal RNA". It matches the Rfam family "Bacterial small subunit ribosomal RNA", at positions 355 to 810 of the family's 1533-position model. The record is from RNAcentral.